GAUGAACGCUGGCGGCGUGCCUAAUACAUGCAAGUCGAGCGAACGGACGAGAAGCUUGCUUCUCUGAUGUUAGCGGCGGACGGGUGAGUAACACGUGGAUAACCUACCUAUAAGACUGGGAUAACUUCGGGAAACCGGAGCUAAUACCGGAUAAUAUUUUGAACCGCAUGGUUCAAAAGUGAAAGACGGUCUUGCUGUCACUUAUAGAUGGAUCCGCGCUGCAUUAGCUAGUUGGUAAGGUAACGGCUUACCAAGGCAACGAUGCAUAGCCGACCUGAGAGGGUGAUCGGCCACACUGGAACUGAGACACGGUCCAGACUCCUACGGGAGGCAGCAGUAGGGAAUCUUCCGCAAUGGGCGAAAGCCUGACGGAGCAACGCCGCGUGAGUGAUGAAGGUCUUCGGAUCGUAAAACUCUGUUAUUAGGGAAGAACAUAUGUGUAAGUAACUGUGCACAUCUUGACGGUACCUAAUCAGAAAGCCACGGCUAACUACGUGCCAGCAGCCGCGGUAAUACGUAGGUGGCAAGCGUUAUCCGGAAUUAUUGGGCGUAAAGCGCGCGUAGGCGGUUUUUUAAGUCUGAUGUGAAAGCCCACGGCUCAACCGUGGAGGGUCAUUGGAAACUGGAAAACUUGAGUGCAGAAGAGGAAAGUGGAACUCCAUGUGUAGCGGUGAAAUGCGCAGAGAUAUGGAGGAACACCAGUGGCGAAGGCGACUUUCUGGUCUGUAACUGACGCUGAUGUGCGAAAGCGUGGGGAUCAAACAGGAUUAGAUACCCUGGUAGUCCACGCCGUAAACGAUGAGUGCUAAGUGUUAGGGGGUUUCCGCCCCUUAGUGCUGCAGCUAACGCAUUAAGCACUCCGCCUGGGGAGUACGACCGCAAGGUUGAAACUCAAAGGAAUUGACGGGGACCCGCACAAGCGGUGGAGCAUGUGGUUUAAUUCGAAGCAACGCGAAGAACCUUACCAAAUCUUGACAUCCUUUGACAACUCUAGAGAUAGAGCCUUCCCCUUCGGGGGACAAAGUGACAGGUGGUGCAUGGUUGUCGUCAGCCCGUGUCGUGAGAUGUUGGGUUAAGUCCCGCAACGAGCGCAACCCUUAAGCUUAGUUGCCAUCAUUAAGUUGGGCACUCUAAGUUGACUGCCGGUGACAAACCGGAGGAAGGUGGGGAUGACGUCAAAUCAUCAUGCCCCUUAUGAUUUGGGCUACACACGUGCUACAAUGGACAAUACAAAGGGCAGCGAAACCGCGAGGUCAAGCAAAUCCCAUAAAGUUGUUCUCAGUUCGGAUUGUAGUCUGCAACUCGACUACAUGAAGCUGGAAUCGCUAGUAAUCGUAGAUCAGCAUGCUACGGUGAAUACGUUCCCGGGUCU
RNAcentral lists this ribosomal RNA (1372 nucleotides) under uncultured bacterium. Its description in RNAcentral is "bacterial SSU rRNA". It matches the Rfam family "Bacterial small subunit ribosomal RNA", at positions 28 to 1381 of the family's 1533-position model. The record is from RNAcentral.